Molecule: ribosomal RNA, 267 nt
Filed under: uncultured Sebacina
Lineage: Eukaryota; Fungi; Basidiomycota; Agaricomycetes; Sebacinales; Sebacinaceae
Description: partial large subunit ribosomal RNA
Source: RNAcentral
ACGCUUGAAGUCAGUCAUGCCCUUGGGGAUUCAGUCUUGCUUCUGCUCGGUUUACUUCCCUUUGGGUGGGUCAACAUCAGUUUAGGUCGGAGGAGAAAGACUUGGGGAAGGUGGCAGCAUUCGUGCUGUGUUAUAGCCCCUUGUUGUAUACUUCGACUAGGACUGAGGACCGCAGCACGCCUUUGGCCGGGGCUCGCCCACGUACGUGCUUAGGAUGUUGGCAUAAUGGCUUUAAGCGACCCGUCUUGAAACACGGACCAAGGAGUC